RNAcentral lists this ribosomal RNA (501 nucleotides) under haloarchaeon 1AZ_DGR. RNAcentral's name for it is "bacterial SSU rRNA". It matches the Rfam family "Archaeal small subunit ribosomal RNA", at positions 44 to 546 of the family's 1478-position model. Lineage: Archaea; Methanobacteriati; Methanobacteriota; Halobacteria; Halobacteriales. The record is from RNAcentral.
GCGAGACCUGCUACUCAUAAUAGCCAGCAACACCCUUGCGGUGGUUGGGUACAUUAGGGAGGACUGCCCUCCAAAUCGGAAUAAGGAAGGGGACAACGGGGGGUCUGUAUGCCCGGAAUCAUCGCGGGGAAGGCGGGAACGCGAAACGUUACGGCGCCAUAGGAUGUGGCUGCGGCCGAUUAGGUAGACGGUGGGGUAACGGCCCACCGUGCCCAUAAUCGGUACGGGUUGUGAGAGCAAGAGCCCGGAGACGGUAUCUGAGACAAGAUACCGGGCCCUACGGGGCGCAGCAGGCGCGAAACCUUUACACUGCACGCGAGUGCGAUAAGGGGACUCCGAGUGCGAGGGCAUAUAGUCCUCGCUUUUCACGACCGUAAGGUGGUCGUAGAAUAAGUGCUGGGCAAGACCGGUGCCAGCCGCCGCGGUAAUACCGGCAGCACGAGUGAUGACCGCUAUUAUUGGGCGUAAAGCGUCCGUAGCUGGCCACGCAAGUCUAUCGGG